Molecule: unclassified non-coding RNA, 345 nt
Filed under: uncultured fungus
Lineage: Eukaryota; Fungi
Description: partial contains 5.8S ribosomal RNA and internal transcribed spacer 2
Rfam family: 5.8S ribosomal RNA (bases 1-133)
Source: RNAcentral
UGGUUCUGGCAUCGAUGAAGAACGCAGCGAAAUGCGAUAAGUAAUGUGAAUUGCAGAAUUUAGUGAAUCAUCGAAUCUUUGAACGCACAUUGCGCCCGCCAGUAUUCUGACGGGCAUGCCUGUUCGAGCGUCAUUUCAAACCUCAAGCCCUCUUGCGUGCUUGGUGCUGGGGCUCUUCUAUAGUGACAUCUGUCGUUAUAGGCCCCAAAAACCGACGGCGGACCCGCGAGGUCUCUGAGCGCAGUAAAACACCUCUCGCUUGUGAAAUCUCCCGGGCUGAUAUCCAGCCUUCAUAUCACUAUCAUACCUAAGUUUGACCUCGGAUCAGGUAGGAAUACCCGCUGA